RNAcentral lists this long non-coding RNA (352 nucleotides) under Capsella grandiflora. Its description in RNAcentral is "long non-coding RNA (CGRA_LNC000138)". The record is from RNAcentral. Lineage: Eukaryota; Viridiplantae; Streptophyta; Magnoliopsida; Brassicales; Brassicaceae.
AGAAAUUUUGGUUAUAUGAGAAUAUCAGGCUAUCAAUACUACUAAUUGUCAAUUGAGCAAACAUAGAUAAAUUGAGAUAAGGAGUAUAGUUUGCUUGGUAAUAUAUGAUUGGAUAUAUUCUCCUUCAACAUUCACUUUGCAAUGAGUCACCUACAAUUUUUAAAAAUAAGAUAUAUUUUAAUACGACAUGUAAAGAGGUUCAUAACAAAAUAUUAAUUAUGUAAAAUUAAUAAAAGUGCGAGUAAACACGUACCAUUUUUUAGAAUAAUUUGGUGAAUGGAGAUGUAAAAGUUUAUUUGCUUGUGCUUUAGAAGAAUGUAUUAGAGAUGUGUGAUAUUUGGUGAUGUGAAUG